Molecule: long non-coding RNA, 18368 nt
Organism: Gallus gallus (chicken)
Lineage: Eukaryota; Metazoa; Chordata; Aves; Galliformes; Phasianidae
Exons: 4
Source: RefSeq, a predicted model, not a curated record
GGAGAGACUAUUGCCGACUGAGGGUUGUGGAGGAGUUUAGGAGAGGUGGUUGGGCUGUACCGAGCUGAGACAGUAUUUGACUGGUGAUGUGCUCGGUUUUUCCUGUCUGGGUGCCUGGGUCUGCAGUGAGUAGUAGCCGCUGGGCUUUGGGUUUUUCCCUUAAGUCUUGUUGUAGCGUCCUGUUGCUAAUAGUGUUUCCAAAUGUAUGGGUGUGCUGGCUUGUCUUCCCGCGCGCUGGUAGGUGGUUUAUAGACAAAGUCGUAUCAGCAAGCUCGGAAGCAGCGUAUGGAGCGUGACUAGCCUGCCCGUGGUGUGUGGGCGUCUCUUGGCUUGCUGAUCUGGCGGUCCUGUUUAUAAGCUGUUACAACCCGGGCCUUGAUCUGCUGGGGUGCAUAGAGGGAAGCAUAUAAGCUAUUUCUGGCCCAGUAGGACUUAGUACUCUUGGCAGCAAAAAUAUGGAGGCAUUUAAUGAGUUUUUGGGGUACUGUAUGCACGUUCUGUGGUCAGCACUACAAGUUCACUGCACUCCCAAGUCAUGCAGUUCCUGACUUCUCUUUUUUACGUAGAUUUUAUAUUACUGUACUAUAUGUUGUGUUUAAUUAACCUUUGCUGGUCAUCUGCCUUUUGUUAGAUAACGAAAUUGAAGGAAAAACAAGAAGGUAUAUAUGCAAAAUAAAGUUUGGAAAGAACAAAGGAAGGAUAGGAGGUCCCUGCAAAGCAGUAUAAAGCUGAGAGGAAGAGUUUCAGUCACAGGGACCUAGUUAAACAAACUUACCUUUUAGGUGUAUGGCAGGAGAUGCUAGCUUAGCACCUGUGUGUAAAUCAUGUUUGCUGAAAAGAACAAAGAGUGACAGACUACAGGAUAAAAAGGUACUUCUAGUUGGGCAGAACAAACUCUGAACUCAGAUUACGAAGUAUGUAUAAACAAGUCAAGGGGGGAUGAGCUGAUAGGUGAAUUGAGAAGAAUGUGAACCCUGACUACCUCAGCAAAGGGAAAGGGCUCACUAGUGUUAGGGUAUGGAGAUAAAAGAGGGGCCGUGUCCCCCAGUACUUAGAGAGACCCCACAGGGGUAUCUCUCAGUGAACUCUCAGUUUAUUUGAAUAAAGAAAGCUGAAGACUCUCCUGUCUCUUUCUGGAAUAAAGAUGAUUGAGCAAGCUUAUUGGAGCAGAAGCUUUCUUAACAAAAUGACUUCUGGGACUAGUACUUUUUAAGCUGUGUAUUGUAUAUUUCAUAAGCCAGCAUUUAAGAAAUUGUGUGUGGAAAUGAUGCCAAAUUAGUUACAAUUGCCAAACAUGCUAGAGCCAUGCUUAAGAAAGUGAUAAACAGUAAAAGGGAAGGCAGACCUUCUAGUGGAAUUCUCUAGGAUGUAUUCUGUACUUUAUAUAUUUCCAGCCAUUUCCCUCAAUUGCAGGGCAGACUCUUCCAUAAGUAAUUUAAACCCAAUGCAAUAGGCUGUGUCCCUUAUUAACUUUUCAAAGGCUGCUGAAAUAUUGUUUAAGGGCCUCCAUUAAGGUUCAGUUGACAAAAGUUAAAAAUGAGUUAUAUGUGGAGUGCUUUAUGGAAAAGGGGCACAAGUGACUAAAAAAAAAAAAAAAAAGCAGUGGGUGUUUUAAGUUAUGUGAAUGGCAUAACAACGGUAGGUAUGUAAGAACAGUAAACAAGUCACAAGAUAGACUAAAAAGUCUUGAGUUUUCCCUUUUUAAACCUUUUAAGAUAUGUUUGUAGUACUACAGCCUCAAAGGAAAAGAAAGGAGCCUCAAAGUCAUGACAGGCUCCAAUAAGAUAUACAGUAGAGACAAUUUUGAAAGCAAGUUGGGGUAAGUAUGAAAGAAAGAUUUCAGAACUUGAUGGGUUCACACAGGAGAGGUAAAAAUGAAAAUCUUGUCAAUAGCUUUCAGGUUGUUGCUAAAAGGCUAGUAAAAUGAGUGUCUACAAUAGCAGAGAACAGCCUGGGCAGUAAAAUGUCUCAAAAAAAACUAAUUGCAGGAAGACUCUGAAACAGCCUUGAAGGACGUAAAGCCUAGCUACUGCUUGUCUGUAAUUUGCUACAUCCUUUGUUUCUUAUGAAUUUUCAUGUCAGAUGCCGUUUUGUCAGAUUGCCCCUCUGCUGCCAUCUUUCUCAUGGCAACAAAAUGUAUUGGAAUAUUGGUGGGAGGGUUCAACACCUGCUUUACCACCAGCUUUCUCUGACAUAACAUGUCAACAUAAUGAAACUGCAGGCAUUAGUUUCAGAGCAGCCUUCCUUUAAAGAUUUGCCAGAGGAAAAAAAAAAAAAAAAGGUUUUGAUAAUAAAGAUGGGCAGAGAGCGACAUAGUUCUGCUGUAGCUUUUUUUUGAAUUGCACUUCUUAUGUUGUUGAAAGCAGUGGUGCUACCCUUGGAAGUCCACAGCAGGCUACAAAUAUUCAUCAGUCCAAUGUUGUGCUAUCAGUUUGUAUGACACUGCUGUGUACGCCGUUAAGGAUGUCAGCUACUGACAGAUGGUUAAACCCUUUAUGUUUGCCUUUCUCAGUUUCAGUGAGUUACCCCAUUAUCCUUGCUUUCCCUUGCUCUCAACAGUAUAUAGCAAAACAAGUCCUUUGUUGUCCUUUAAACUUAGAAAGUUGUUUCUCAUCGUUUACUACAUCACAGCAGACUAUAGCAUAUUGGCCCACAUGCCUUAGAGACAAGCCUCUUUUAUUUUCCUUUUUAAUACCACAGUUUUACAUUUGAAUUCAUCUCUUGCUUCAAAACCUAGCAGCAUUAAAAAAAAAAAAAUGAGUUGAGCUGAGCAGUUGCACUACAGGCAUGCAUAUAAGACCCAACCACUCCAUCACAGGACUGGAAAAGGGCUCUGUAUUUGCAGUUCAGAUUUCUGAGCUGUACUUCCCGUAAUUCACCGACGGAUGUCAGCAUUUCUCUAAAACUAGUCCUUUACUUUUGGAGUGACCUACAUAAAUGCAGCUCCAGACAAUUUCUCUCUGCUUAGUGUAGCCCCUGCAAGCCAAAAGGUUGGACAUACAUGGUUUAUGUGAUACAUAGUGCCACUGCCCCUUUUAGGUCACGGGUCUAGAUUUUAAAAAGACAAAAUAGUCCAUUUAAAAAUAAAUAUCUCUCAUGAUUCUGUGCAUCCAUGUCUUUACAUAAGCCUACUUUAAUGGGCAGACAGGUAUUUAGUCAAAUUUUAAUGAAGAUUUUAAUUACAUUUUCAAAUGUAAAAUUAUUUUAAAGCUCCUGAGCGGGUGUAAUCAGCUGCUUUCAUUCUUUUCUUUCCUGAUCUUCAAAAAGCAAUUGAGAUUGCUGGAUACCUAUGUGCUCAGACACUAGGGAUUUCUUUUUCUUUGCGUUCUGAGCCAGUGAGUAGCUACCGUCAUCAGAAAUAAUGGGCAAUUCCUGUUGAUAUUUGUCAAUAUGAACAUAGUACAAAUAACUAAUUACAGAUGGCAAUUGCCAGAUUGAUUCUGCUGCAUUUUUUAAUUGCUUUCUUGACCUUGUCUUUGUUAGCAUAGUUCAAUCAGUCUGUAUGGAUUACACCUUUUCCACUGGUUAUUAUCAACAGCCAGCCUUGGAAGGUAUAAACUAUUGGAAGUUUUUGUGAUGUUGCUCUUGGUGAAUCUAGCUUUUAUUUGACAUUUUAGAGUUAUUAGUUUUACAGCCUCAUCUACUCUUCUCUACCUCUGUUUUCCUUUGAGUUGCUUAUCUUUGUUUCUUUUACUUUUCUUAUGUAACAUUAUAAGAGUUUUUUGUUGUACAUUUUUUUCUGUGUCUUUCCUGACACAAGCUUUCUUGCUUGGCUGUCUGUCACUGCUUUAUCUCUACUAGAUGCUUUCUGUUGCCACAGUACUGAGCAGUUGGUUUUUUGUGGUUUUUUUUUUUUUUUUUUUGAUAAGGGUUCUUGCACCCUUCUCAAGUAUAAGUGUUGUAUUCACUUUUGCUAUCAAUCCACUGAACCUGGAUUUAUUGCUUUUUCCCUACCAGCUUUCUUACACAUUGUUUGGUCUUUACAUUGCAUGGCUUACUGCUUUAAGCCUAUCCUACGAGUGGUCUGUUGGUGCUCAUUCUUCCACAGGUAAUAAAAGGGAUGGAAGAGCAUGCAGGACAUACCUGAGAAGUUAAGUCCUAAGAGUUUGUGUCCCCAUCUUCAAGUUAAUACGAAUCUGAACCCAUUCUUAAGUGGUCCAGCUUAACAGUUUUAUUCUGAAUGUUAUUCAUAUAUGAGCACUCACUGGCUGUGACCAGAGUUACUGAUUGUCUGCAGAGCAAAGCGUGAGCAUGUUACUGUCUUACGUGAUUUCUGCAUUAGAAUUAGAUGAGAAUUUUUUUUUUAUUUCAUGGUCUCCGCUGCCAUAGUUGCUUUUGGGAGUCUGAAGAGUAAGAAAAGGUUCAGUAAAGAAGGGGUCGGCAGAAACUAAGGGUAAAAGGAUUAGGAAUGGCUUACAGAAGAAAACAUGCAGAGGCCGCUAGAAGAAUGGGAUAGUAACAAGAUGGGAUAAGGACAGUGCGGGAGUAGAAGAGAGAAAGAUGAGGGUGUGGAAAACAGCUCAAGGACACCAGGCAAGGAGGUGAUAAGGCGUCCCCAGAGCAAGUUAGAACUGGUUUGGGGGCUACCCCUUCCUCGAGGUCAGAAGUUUACAGCGAAGAAGAGUACGAGCCUUCAUCCAACGACUACCAGGAGACCCCCACUGCUCAUGACGCAUGCUAAGCAGUUCUCGGAAAUAGUUUGAUUCUGAAAGUCAGUUUGGCACCCCAGAGGGGACAGUCCCUGUCCGGCUGCAGGACCAGCUGAGGAGGGGGACGCCUUAGGCGCGCCCCGAGGUUUCUCAGAAGGACUCCCCUUCGUCUUCUGAUCACUGCGGGGAUAGACAAGGGUCAUCAGUCGGCGGACCAGAAAAAAGUGAUGUUUCUUCAAUCCAAGAUCUGAUUUACAAAACACUGUAUUUUCCUGAGAAACUACAGCCUAACAGCCCCUUGCAGUGUCAGAAUCCUGCUGGAACAAACUCCUCUGCCCACCACACUGUCAUCCAGAAUCCCUUACAAGACUCAUAAAGGUGAACAUCUUCCAUCCCAUUGGAAACACUCUUCUGACUGGAACUGAGUGUUCACCCUGCAUGAUAGUAUUCUCAGCUUGUCUCUUCUAUCUCAGCUGAAUUUGGAUGGGAGUAAUAGGCUCACCUGCUAUAUUACAUCUGUAUCUUCACCCAUUUGUAUAAUGUUUUACUGGACAUGCAUAAUGGAUGGAGCAGUCCCUUCACUAUUAUGGCAGCCUGAGAGGGUUGGAUAUGAGAGCAAAUAUUAUUAAUUUGGUGAUUUUGUGUUAGCAAACAAUAACAUUUAAAGAUCUUGAAGGCUGUUAUUUAAAAGCUUGCUGUGCUAUGCUCUGCAAAAUAUCCAAGAGCUGUCCUAACAGGGAGAAUGAAUUUUGUGUGGAGGAAUAGGGUGUCUUGCCAUUGGAUCAAAAAGUCUGUUGCUCUUGUAUGGGAGGACAGGACUUUUUACAUAAUACUGCAGCUGUUCUUUUUUGUUUGUUUGUUUUUGUUUUUGCACUUUCCAUUUCUAAAUUAAUGAAAUAUUUAUAGAGGACAGAAUCAGUCCUCUGUAUCUGAUGGCUGUGAAAAUUGAAGCACAAAGCAAUAAAGUGAUACAACCUGCUUUCUAACAGUGAGCACUCCUAUUGCUUCUCAGAACAGCAUUCUUGCAUCUCUGACUACUCUGUAACCACAGUGGAAUUUUUUCCCCAUUUUAAUGACCUCUCAGAAGCAUUUUUGCAUGCUCCCAUAUAAUACUAAGUGCUUGUAUAUAACUGGACUAAUGAGGCAAGAGCUCUGAAGUCACAGUAAUGCUUUGGUACCAGUGUUGCUCAGAUUAGUGGAAGUUGUGAGCAGCAGGGCUUGAAUUUGUUGUCUAUGGAGAGCUAACAGUGUAGGAACCACAUACUAAUGGGAUAAAUAAGGAGUUGUUUUGGGGCUGCUCAGCUCUGGACUGUAACUUCAGGGAGUUCCGUCAGCUGUCAUGAUGCUGCGAUAAACAGCCACCUGUCCCACUGGGCAAUCACCAUACAGAGCAUAGCCUUAGCUGCUGGCAGUGCAGUGUGACUUGGGCUCUCAUCAUUCCCACUGUGCUUUCCUAAUAGUGAUGAGUCCUGUACUGGCUAUUAGUUAGGUCAUAGUAAAUUGGCCUCCCUCUAAUUUCAGGUUUCUGUUUCCAACAACCUAGAGCUGCUGUUCUGAUGGCCAGAACAAGUGAGGAUUCUCAUUUUUCUCCCUCAGAAUUUCAGGUGAAGCAGUAGCAGCUACCCUUCUCUCUUCUCCUGUGGCCCAGCUGUAGAGGUGGGAUGAACAGGCUGGUUCUGAGAUACAUUCCUAGUCCUGUUGCUACUUGAUUUUAAUCUUCAGAAUUAGCAGACCUGACACUGAGGGACCACAGUGCAGCAGAGUUCUGCAACACAGGUUACCGAGAACAUAUUGUGUGGGAACUGUUGAAUCAUGGCCCGAACCACUGAUUGAUCACCUGAGGCAAGCACUGAGUAAGCCACGGGAGCACAGGUGAAGGCAAUUCACCUGUGUGACCAGAAGGGGUGGAACCUGGCUCCACCUCUCCUAGACCCCAUUUAAGGGCUGACUGCCUCGGGAGAAGGAUCUCUUUCUGGAGGUCACUCCCUUUGGAGUUUUUCUGGGCACCUAAGACAUGGGAAGUGCUUCCAUUUAUUUUUUUAUUAUCCCUUUCUACUGUGAUAAUCCUUCUAGUUAUACAACCUGUAAAAUAGCAGCCUAACCAUACCGCUCUGCUAAUUGUAUAUUUGUUGAUUGUAUGCAUAUAACGGAUCAACAGGCAUAUGUGUUGUGGCAUGUGCUGUUCCAUCCAUAAAACAAGUUGCUGUUCUUUAUCUGUGUUGGGUUGUGUAUUUUCUCCUCAUGCCUCCUUAAUUCUGUGGCCUCUGCCUCCUACACUGGGGACAUAAACAGGAUAAUUACAAAUAACAGCAGUGUCUUGAGUUCUCACUCAUGGUUUGCACAACCUGGUGUGUGUACAGCUGCCCAGGUGAUGGACUCUUGCUGUAUGUGCUUUGAUGAAAAUAGAGCACUACCACAAUUUGUGCUUCUCAUGGCCCCACUUAGCAUCUUGUUUGGCUUUGGUGAGGCAAGCAGUUUCCAUAGAAAUACUCUUCUUGAGCCCAUGUUGGGAUCUCAGAGGUUCCUGCAACGAUUGCCUGGAACAUUUCAUUUGUCACUGGUUGAGCUAAUCUGUUAGCUGGGUCUUACAGGCUGUUAUAGUGCUACUGCAUUAAAACUUCCUGACCCAUAACAGCAAAAGAAGAUUGUCUACGCUCAUUAACAGAGAACAUCUUAGCGCUGGCAGUUUAUGCCAAAUGGGAAUCUUUCUUAGCAACACAAGCAUAAGGGGGAUACAAAUAGUUGUAUGACUGAAACUGAUCUAUGCGAAACAAAUUUUGCCAUACAGGUCAAAUGAUAAGCAGUUCAAAUUGAUCUACUGUUGAAAUGUUGAUUUAUUUUAGUCAGAACAGGAAAGUGUUAAACCAUCUUAAAAUAUAACAAAACAUGUAAAUGUUGCAACUUGUGCAGCUUAGGCCUCUUCUCCUGUUGGAUAACAUUGCUUUGUGCUGUACAAGCCCAAGAAUGCUUCUUUGUGGAAAAUAAAGGUCAGAAGGUAUGGACACUAUAUACUAUGGGUGUACAACUUUUUUGCUUGUCUGGGCCACACUGAGUGAAUGGGAAUCAUCUUGCACCACAUCUAAAAUAUAUAAUAAUGUAUAAAAUCUCAUAAACAGGCAUGAUAAAAUUUUUGAGUUGAAUAUUAGACUGUAGCUGCAUACAUAGCAAAUACACAUGUAAUGUAUUUAGAUCAACUAAAAAUGGAGUCCCAAAUACAGAGGGGGGGGGGGGAGGGGGGAUUUUUUUUUUAUCUCAAAACCUAUUCUCAAAAUGUUUUUUCAAAACAGAAAGCAAGGCUGCAUAUUUUUCACUGUUCACAGGACUGUGUUUAGCCAGCAUAUCAAAAUGCAUGAAAUAUUUGAUGUAGCUUGAGCUUGCCAUAGUUCUAAGUUUUAUUUCAAACACUGUUAUAUUUGAAACACAGCAGAUGAUAUCAUUUUCAUCUUGAAGCUGCAUGUUCAACUCAUUUAAAUGAGUGGUCAAAUCUGCUAAAGAUGGUAAAUCUGCGAGCCUUUUUUAAUCUUCUCAUUCUGAGACAAAUUUUCCUUUUGACUCCACAAAGAACUUCAUUUCAUUUCUCAAAUCAUAUAAUAUUUUUAGUGUUCUACCUUAACUUAGGCACCUGGCUUCAGAAAAGUAAGUGAUGUCCCCAUAAUCAGCAGCCUUACUUUUAAGGAACCCCUGGAAUUGAUGAUGAUUCAGUUCCGUAGACUUUAUGAAAUACAGAGCUUUGAUGUUUUUGAAUUACAUUAUCAAUUUUUAAAGCUUUCUCACAUAAAUUUUAUUGGUGUUUGAUGCAACAGUAUUUCAUCAAGUGUGAUUUUCUGGUGGCAGCUGCAUUAUUUUCUCUUAAUUUUGUAAGUCCCUUUUUUUACCAGCCAUCAUUAGGGUGCCAUCAGUAGCUUCACCAAAUAUGUUGACAAAAGUUAAAGAAAAUUGCUUGAAUGUAUUUUUUACUGUUUCAUACAAAUGAGGAGAUGUAGUUAUGUCUUUUAAAGACACCAAAGAAGCCAUUUCUUCAGUGACAUUAUAUUCAUUAUCAAUAUGUAUUACAAAAAUGGCAAGGAGAUUCAUAUCUGCGCCAUCAAUACUUUAUCACUAAAGCAAAAAAAAAGAAAAAAAAAUAGCAACUUUACUCUCCAUAUUACUUUUGAUAGAUUUUUCCUUUUUCUUCUAUUCACUUGGCUGUACUCUGGCAAGAUAAACUGAUUUUAGAAAAGUCUGCUUUGGACAUAUUAUGUGUGCCAUACUUUCCAUACAUUGCUUAAUAAACUCAUCUUCAGUAAAUGUUUUUUUUUGUUUGUUUGUUUGUUUGUUUUUCAGUCACAUUUGCUAUCACAUAACUAGCUUUUAUAAUAGAGUCCAUUUGAGUUUGAAUUUUUUAAAAAAGAUUUUGUUGGGAUGACAGGUUUUUUUCAGUUUCACUGUUUUGUCUUUAUGAAGCAUAAAUUCCUUAAUAUUUAUUAAAUUUGGCAGCAUGUUUCUGCAUAUAAUGUCUUUUCAGAUUGCAAUCUUUGAAAACAGACACAAUCUUGACUAAAAUCUACUCGUCUAUUUUUCCUUGAACGCUCUUCCUUCCUCCACAACUUUUUUUUUUUUUUUUUUUGGCUCUGCUUUCCAUUGAGACAGUAUUAGAGACAGGUUUAAAUAGUAUUAGCAAUCACUUCAUUUUACUCAAUAAGCGCGUCUAUAUGUAAUACACGUAGGGCUUGAUGCAACUGAGUUGCUGUGGGUGCGAGAGGAAGACUAAGCACUACUACUGCUGCGCCCUCCCUGUGUCUAGAGGGUGGGCCAAGCUGUAGCAGCAGGGGCUGGGCCACACUGCAAGCUGUGCCAGGCCGUGGGUUGCAUGUGCCUGUUGUGACACAUUGCCUGUUUGUCAGCCAUCAGAACUCACAGCAUUGGAGUUAGAAGUUCUUUCAUGUAGCAAAUAACAUUUGCUGAAUCCUACUCGGUGGCAGGUUGGCAUACCGGCUGGUACCUGGUAGCUCUUCCACAAGACAUGAUUUGCAAGAUAUUGUUUUAUGUCCCAGUGACAGCGCAUAGCAAAUGAGGAGUUCAGCAGACUCAGACAGUAGAUACUUGCGUAUGAAUGAUUUGUUGCUUUGGUUGUGAAGCUCAAUUUAUUAUCAAGUAAAUAAGGGUGUUGUUUUUUUUUUUUCUCCUGGGAGAUGAUAAUUCUACUGGCCAUGUCUGAUCUCGUUUUUGUGAUUUAUUUGAUGAAUGUAGUUAUUUCUGUUAUUCUGGCAUUUGCCAGUGGACUAUCUAGCAAGGAGAGCUAAGACCAAAUGUACGUAGAGAGCUCAAUGCUCUUCAGUUCCGUGAAUUGCCUGCUACUGGCCUCUGGGAAUACGAAUGACUGUAGCUUCCAUUCCUUUCAAAACCCCAAGCUCCUGGCAAGAGGAAUGAUGUGAUUAUGGCUUCAGGAUGGUGCAUGGAUUUGGGAAUGGAAUUACUUUUUGCACAUGGGCAGGCAUGUCCAACCCGCUGUCUGUGGCUGCGCACAGUGUGCUACUAAUGCUGUGCUGACUGAAAGCAGGGCAUGGAGAAGGCAGUGCUGACUCAAGUGACAGCAAAUAAUUCUAUGCCUUUUGAAACACUGGCUAAGCACAGGCCUCUGAUCAGCAAAGAAUACGUGGCCAUGCUUUCUGUUUUGAUAAAGGAAUUUGCAAAUAGAAUCAUAGAAUCCUUUGAGUUGGAAGGGACCUCUAAAGGUUAUUUAGUCCAAGUUCCCUGCAAUGAAGAGGGGCAUCCACGGCUUGAUGAGGAUGCUCAGAAACUGGUCCAGCCAGACCUUGAAUGCCUCCAUGGACAGGGCAUCCACCACAUCUCUGGGCAACCUGUGCCAGUGCCACACCACUCCCACUGUAAAAGAGUUUUUCCUGAUAUCAAACCUAAAUCUCCCCUCUUCAAGUUAGAAACCAUUUCCCCUUGUCCUAUCACCACAGAUCCUGCUGAAGAGUCUGUUCCCUUCUCUGUUAUAGCCCCCUUUUAGAGACUGAAAGGCUGCUAUCAGGUCUCCCUGGAGCCUUUUAUUUUCUGGGCUCAACAGCCACAGCUUUCUCAGCCUGUUCUCAUAGGGCAGGUGUUCCAUCCCUUGUAUAAUUUUUGUGGCCCUCUUCUGGAUGUGCUCUAUUUUCUGAAUAAUUGCCUCCACAUCCAUUCAUUAUUUCCCAUUAGAGAAGAUUGAAUCCUAUCCUUUUGUUGAAUUUGAUAUAUAACCACUUGUAAUUAGUACCAUUAGGUGGGUUUCCUCUAUACUGGGUACAGUUUACUCUGUUCACAGUAGCAGUCUGAAAAUCAGUGUCAUUUGGCCUUGGGCAACGUGCACGACUGGCCACCCCGGGGCAAAGGCAACAACACUAGUCAAUAUACUUACCACAGGUACAGUCACCAGAGCCUAGAAAACUUCAGAACAGGUGGUCCCACAGAUUCUGAUGCCCACUGCUUUCUUGGCGACUUCUUCACUCUUGAGUAGUAAAUCCAGUUGGGUUGUUCCCUGAUUUUGACUGCAGUAAAUGUUGUCUACAGCACUCAGGAUGGUCCUUCUCUUCCAAUGGCUGUCCUGAAAGAGCUUUAGCAUGCACCCAAUCUCUUGGUUUGAAGGGGUGAAUUGGUUGAUCUAAACCUCUGACUCCCCAAACCUCUUUCUGAAUUUUGCUUAACUGAUUUCCCAGUGCAAUCAUAUAUCUCUGUAAAUAGUUUUCACCCAACUUAUUCAGAUCCUCCCCUUUAAACUGAAAUUGGUAAGGUCUACCGUGCAGUAUUUCAAAAGGACUCAAACUUUCUUGGUUUUACCCUAAUUCUCAUCAAGUCUUUAGGGAGUGCUUGAUACCAAUAUAAAUUAUCUGCCUGACAAAUUUUUUCAGUUUGAUGUUUUAUCAAAUGAUUCAUCUUUUUGACUAGCCUGCCUGCUUGUGGUUGACAGGGUGUGUGCAAUUGCCAAUCACUGCCCAGCAUUUUACUGACUUCUUGUACCACUUGCUCACAGAAGACAGGGGUACUGUCUGACGACAUCACAACAGGUACCCCAGACUGAGGCAUUACGUCAUUUAAUAAGACUCUUGUAAGUUCUCUUGCCUUAUCUGUUCUACAAGGAAAAGCUUCUGGCCAACCUGAAAAAGCGUCUGUCAGCACCAGUGAGUACUGAUGCCCCCCUUUUCUAGGGAGUUCUGAGAACUGUAUUUGCCAUUGUUGUCCUGAAAUGUUCCCUUUCGCGAUAGACCCCACUUGUACUCUGUUCCUGGUAUUAGGAUUGUUCUUCAAAUGGAUUUCACGUUGUUGAGUAACCUGUUUCAGCACGGAAUACAGAUUACAACCAUUGUUACUUUGUUCAAAUACUUACAAAGAGCAUCUGCUCACGAGUGUGUUUUAUUAUUUUCCCCUAGAACCAAUUCCCAUAAGAUGCUCAAGGGCACGACAACGCGUCCAUCAGGUGUAUAUGCCCAUCUGUUGGUUCCCUCCUUUCCUUCUAAGUCAUUAAAUGCCUAUCUUCUUUAGAAUAAUUCACGGGUUCUGACUCAAGUUCAGUGAUUUGAAGUUUACCGUCUGGAAUUAAAGUCAGUUCACCGAUUUCUUUUCCUUCAGCUGCCUGUUCUGCCACCUGAUUGACCAUCUUAUUUCCAAUUUCCUGUACAGUGUUACCUUUCUGAUGUCCUUUACAUUGCAUAGUAGCCGUGCUCUUUGGUAGAUCUACAGCUUCCAGCAGAUGCACAAUUUCUUUGGCAUGCUUGAUUUGUUUUCCUCGUGUUGUAAGCAAUCCUUGCUCUUUCCAAAUGACACCAUGGGCAUGUACAACCCCAAAUGCAUACUUAGGAUCUGUCCAUAUGUUCAUCUUUUUUCCUUUUGCCAAUUCUAAAGCUCUCGUCAAGGCAGUUGUUUCAGCCUUCUGAGCAGAAGUCCCUGCAGGUAAUGGUUUUGCUUCAAUUACCUUGUCAGUAGUGGUUACCACGUAUCCUGCCUUUGUUUCCUUAUCUCACAAAACUGCCUCCGUCUGUGAACCAGGAAUCUUCAGCAUCAUCCAUUGGUUCCUUCUUUAGGUCUGGCUGUCUGGCGUAGAGAGUCUCCAUCGUAUGAGAUGUACUGGAGUCACAAUAGAGUACUUCUAUCUUUUGUCUCAGUACGUGCCAGGACAUUUUCCUCAGGUUCUGCAUACACUGUUUUUAAAAAGUGGCUCACUAUGGCCUAAUAAGCAAUGGAAAUUUUCCAGAGUGGGUGAAAGUGAGUCAAAGGCCUUGGUGAUGAAGCUGCUGGUGCAAAAUGGGGAAUGAGGAGGUGGGCACUCAACCACCCUAGAUACCACUGAGCAUGCCCAAAGGGACAUUAGCACAUAUUUAUGAGUCCUUGGAAAAAAAUGAAUGCGUAUGCCAAUGUACUGCAUAUGUAUGUCUUAACUGUUUGAACGUAGAACCUGAACUCUGAGAGGGUGCGCUUGCUUGUCAAGUCGCCUGGUAUGUAUGGUGAGGAAUAAAGGAGUACUAAAUUGGAGUUAAGGGAGUUUUUGUCCUGGAUUUUGGAUGACAAUUUUUGGUGACCCAGAUGGGACACUGUGUCUGUGAUCUUGUGGACCAAAGGACCAGAGGGGACCUCUGUUCAAUGCACUCACAGAGGUGAUUCUCGGGGAGCUCCCCUCUGAUCCUGUCGGGUCUGGCUGCGAGUUCCCUGGAAUACCGUAAGGCAUUCCAUUCCUUUUUUAUUGCCUCCGGUAAAUCAUGAAAGAAGUCUGUAUCAUGUACAGAGAGCAAGGGUAAUGGGAUCCCAGGGUACCCUAUUAUACAGUGUCAGAGAGAGAGCCUGAAUGUGAUAGGGGCCCACGUUGCAGACAUGGAGGAAUCAGCUGUGGAAAUUGCAGAGGAAACUUGUUGAAAAUUGUAAUGAUUGGUGGGUUGGAGAAGUGAUUAAAAUUAAUUGUGGAAUCCUGAGAUCUGUGGAAAAAUAAUAACAAGCGGAGUUCCAAUCUUGUGAGAGGAUAUUGGUUAUAGCUGUCCCUGAAGGAAUUUGGUGUGCAACCAUGCCUUGAGGGAGCCAUCAGACUUCAUCACCUAGCAAUUUGAGGAGGGACAGGGACAGUUGUCCAGCAGUGUGUGCUAUUAGACGUUGUGAGCUGUGCCAGCUGAUGCAGGUGGGUGCUGGCACGAGAACACCCUUGCAGUGCUGCCCCGCCAUGACUUGCAAACGGAACUCUUGGAGAGAGAGCCGGGGGCUGCAGACUCCUGCUGUAAAGUGUGGUACUUGCAAAUGGGUUGGGGGGUUGGGGGGAAGGAGGGGGGGAGAGAGGACAGGGGCAAGAUAUUGGAAGUGAGAAUAGCCUUCAUCUGCAGAGAUCUAGGAAACCCGAUAUCCCUGUGUCUCAGCUUGACUGGCUCGCAGUUUGUGAGCUCCCUGGGGCUUAUGAGAAAUAAAGCUGUGUUAAGGAUUCUGAUUCUCCAGAACUUUUCCGUUUGUGUCUGCAUGAUGUGGAUCUGCUUUCAGGGCAGCCAAACAUGAAAUACACGUGAGAGCCAUAGAGAACUGUGCCAGUAUUGGCUGAGGAUAGUAUCAGGGAAACGCUUCUCUUGCCAUUGGUUAUGUCCUCCAGUGAGUCAUGUGAAUCACGAAUGACGGGGAGAGGGUGGGGCUAGUAGCUGUAACUCAGCAGCUGAUGAUUUUGCUGAAGAGCUAAGCCAAACUUUAGAGCUGCGGGAGCCUUAAAUACAGCACGUGUCACCUCAGAGGCCUUGGCAAGAUACGUGAGUUCCACUCUCCGCACUUCAUAGAUGGGAAAAUGAAGCUACAGAAGAGAGAAAUAAUUUCCUUGAUGUCACAUGGCAGCUUAAAGCAGAAAACUAAGGCAUUAAUAUCCCGUGCACCAACCUCCUAGGUCCUAUGUGAUUUGGACUGGCAGUUAGUCUAGGGGAGCUGACUGUCAUUCUACCAACCCUCUUCUUCCUCACAGCAUCAGCUGGUACUGCUUGCUUUUAGUGCCUAAACAGAAGUAGAACUUCGUUUAGAGUACAGAAUACAACUUUGGAAACCGAAGCUGCAGUCAACGUGUAUAUUUCUGUGCAUAUCUAAUUAGACAGAAAAUUGUAAAAUACAUGCUUGAAUUAUACCACAUACUGUGCUGGCAAGGUCUUUUCAUUUUCUGGCAACUUCCAUGUAAACCACCUCUACCAGGCAUAUUCCCAGUAGACUUCCUGGAGUUUCUGGCACUCUCCCUCUUCAAAUAAAUAGUUAAUGGGAAAUUGCUCAUCUUUGUUUCCUUGCUCUCUUUGAUGAUGCGUAACAGAACUUGUUAAAACAGUUGCUUCCUUUUUCUCUACCAUCUUGAUAUACUUGUUACUUCAGAUUAACUGGUGAAUUGUACAAUAACAAAGCCAAACAAACAAACAAAAAAAAUUCCAUUCACUGAAGAACUGAUGUCCACGAAGCUACAGGACAACGGUCUCAAAGUAUGAGAAGGGCAAGAUGGUGAUUGUUUCCCAUGAGGGAAUCUUGAAGGACUCCAGGUUUUCCUGGUUCCUCAGAGAUGAUGUGAAGUGACUCAGGCCUUCCCCUGGGACCCUGGCUGAGGUCCAUCACCAUUUGAAUUCUCUCUCCCACCUGCUCCUCAGGGCUGGCACCAGAGUACAGACCAGGGUAGAACUCGUCAUCCCUCUGGAAGUAAAAUGUAUGGAUGCCUUUGGUGGCAUGCAGACAAAAGAGCUGGUUUGCUUUGUAAAGGAAGGUGGAAGCCUGCUCAGUCGAUGCCAGGCUUGGCACUGGGCCAGUCUACGUGGCAAGGAGAAAGUGCUGUUUAAAUUCCCUGGGAGUCAGUGUUGGCGGUGUGUAUUUCCCAGACAGCAAGGGAGAGACUCGCUCUUUCUCUGCGUCCAAAGAAAUGCCAAGGAUUCCUCUGAUCACCCAGUGAAUAUUUAAAUAUUUACUUGCACCGUCUUUAGAUUCUAUUUUACUGUUAUUCUGCCUUGAGUUUUCUGCUAUUGGUCUCCAAGAACAGGAAAAAAAAAAAAAAAAAAAAAAAAAAAAAAAAAAGAUACCUUUGCUAUGUUCCCCAAACCAAUGGCUAAAUUAGAGACCAGUGUUCGCAGGUUGCUGAGAGACUAGGAGCUUUGCUCACGUGGUCUAUGUUAAUGUGUUCAACAGAUGACUGCUCAGGAGGAAACUUGUCUGUAUCUACUUAGUGCACAUCUUUUUUUUUUUUUUUUUUUUUUUCUUUUUAUUCCUCACUCUCUCCAUACUACAGCUUUGGUGCCACUUCCUGAGUUAUUUAGAUCCUUCCUGAUGCUGGACCAAAAUAAGUCCUUUACCUUUCCUGCUGAUGUUCUCUGGCAUGGUGUAAACCAGGCACGUGCCGCCCGCGGGACGCAUGCGGCCCAGCACGGCAGGCAAUGCGGCCCAUCCCCUCCCCGCUCCGUAAAGGCGGCGGCUCUUCCCGCGGAGCGGCCCCAGGCACGCGCCCAUCGCUCAGCAACAGCAAAACAGUCAGUGCGCUAUUAACGCUGCGUCGACUGAAAGCAGGGCGUGGGGGGGGGCAGUGCUGUGCAGUGCUGACUCCCGUGAUGGCAAAUAACUAUGUAUUUUGAUACGUUGGCUAGACACAGGGCUCUGAACAGCAAAGAGCACAGUCAUGCUUUCUGUUUUGAUAAAGGAAUUUGAAAACAGAAUCACAGAAGCAUGGAAUCAUAGAAUCCUUAGAGUUGGAAAGGACCUUUAAAGAUCAUCUAGUCCAACUCCCCUGCAGUGAACAAGGACUUGCAGAGCUCGAUCAGGUUGCACAGAGUCCCUUCCAGCCAGGCCUUGAAAGUCUCCAGGGACAAGGCAUCCACCACAUCUCUGGGCAACCUGUGCCAGUGCCUCACCACCCUCACUGUAAAAGACUUUUCCCUUACAUCCAACCUAAACCUACCCUCUUCAAGUUAGAAACCAUUUCCCCUUGUCCCAUCACAACAGACCCUGCUGAAGAGUCUGUCCCCUUCCUUCUUGUAGCCCCUCUUUAGAUACUGAAAAUCUGCUAUCAAGUGUCCCCGAAGCCUUCUCUUCUCCAGGCUGAACAGCCCCAGUUCUCCCAGCUUGUCCUCACAGGAGAGAUGUUCCAUCCCAUGGAUCGUUUUUGUGGCCCUCCUCUGGAUGCGCUCCAACAGGUCUAUGUCUCUCCUGUACUGAGGACUCCACAUCUGGAUGCAGUACUUCAGCCCUACAGCUACCUGCUGGACUCACCUUCUUCUGUCUCCCAUUCAGUUACUUGCCAACAGUGCCUAUCACAUUCAGAGCACAAAUUUUACCCCCAGGAACAUUUUCUCACUGUUCUUGCACAAGAGUACAACAUUGUGCGUUGUAUCCCUUGGAAGUAUAGUUCAGGGUUAAACUCCAACAUCAAGCAACAACUGAGAAGGAACAGUUGCACCACCUCCUUAUGUUUGAGUAAGAUUUUCUAUAUUCUAAUAAAAUUAGCGACUAGACCCUGAAUUUGAGUCUGAAAUGCUUCAUGCGUUUGGAGAUGUGUUUCAGCAGCAAAAAGCUCAUGAAAGCUACACAGUAACUUCCUUCUCUACUGAUUCUUGUUCCUUUUUUUUUUUUUUUUUUUUUCUUUUGCGUUGUGGACAGUUUAAAGCAAUCCUGGGAAAUGUUGCUUUUUUUUUUUCCCCAGUGAAAUUGUGCAUCUCUUGUAGCUUGGGUGGGGAUGGAGAAGAGUAAGACUACUCUGACUGACAUCUUGGCAUGAGAUUUGAGAACCUACCUAGAUUUCAGUAACCCUUUAGGUUACUAUUAAAUUAAAUGCAACAGCAGAGCCCAGGCUGAAGACAAAGAAAAGCUGAGAGGAUGUUGGGAAGAAAAGCAGGCAGCAAAUAACUUCUCAAGGAGCCAUACUGAAUCAUCCAGCUGCUUUUCUUGUUUCAUAAUGGAUGAAAGUCACCAUCUUUGCACACAACAAAAAAAGGAGUGAGCCAGCUCAGUGCAAACAAGACAUGAUGAUUUUCCAGAAACUGUUAGAUGGUCUGUUAAAAAAAAUUCCUUUAUGUAUGCCCCACUGCGUGUAGGGGCAGUAAUUCUCCAAAAUCUGUGUUCAAAUGUCCACUCCAUCCCUCCCUUGCCUUUUACUUUCUUUUGCAUUGUUCUCCUCUGUUGUCUGAUGCAUGCUCUUCUUUGCACGGUCAUGUCUCACUUCCACAUCUCUCCUGGGUACUCUUCUUGGAUGACAGCAUGUCUUUCUCACUUGCUUGAGGAACUUCCUCUCAACCAACGAAGCAGGCAAAGCCUCCUUCAGGUCAGUUCCUGGGUCCUCUCCGUUGACUGAACCUCUCUAAGCAUUUUUCUCCAGGCCAUCCUGAAUCAUUCACAUUUCUUCUCAGAAGCCUUUCUGAUUUGGCAUAUAUAUCCCAGCAGCCAUUUCCCUUAAUUGCCACCCUCCAACAUCUGCUCCAGUCUGAAAUCAGGAUAAGCAAAAACCUGGCCAUUUUGCCACAAGGUAAUGACAGAUAAAUGGAGAUAAGUAACAACGUUGGAGUAAAAAGUACAAAUCAAACCCUUUCAAACUCAGAAAUGGAGUCCCAUUUCCUGAAACACUGCUGUGCAAUUCUACAUGCUGUAAAUCAGGUUGUGAUAGACCACUGAGGGCAGCAGACAUCUUUGGCUGUGCUGCAGGUUAAAUUGGGCUAAGAUCUAUACUAGCUGUAAACCUGAAAGCAAAGCUAGAAUUCCUAACAGAUUAAAAAAAAAAAAAAAAAAAAAAAAAAAAAAAAA